UCCCUUAGAUGUUCUGGGCUGCACGCGCGCUACACUGUCGGAUUCAGCGAGUCAUAUCCUUAACCGAAAGGUUUGGGUAAUCUUUUGAAAGUCCGACGUGAUGGGGAUUGAUCAUUGCAAUUAUUGAUCAUGAACGAGGAAUUCCUAGUAAGCGCGAGUCAUCAGCUCGCGUUGAUUACGUCCCUGCCCUUUGUACACACCGCCCGUCGCUACUACCGAUUGAAUGGUUUAGUGAGAUCUUCGGAUUGGCGCCUACGCGGCUUCUCUGAGGCCACGCUGGAUGCCGAAAAGUUGCUCAAACUGUAUCAUUUAGAGGAAGUAAAAGUCGUAACA
Molecule: ribosomal RNA, 333 nt
Filed under: uncultured eukaryote
Lineage: Eukaryota
Description: partial 18S ribosomal RNA
Rfam family: Eukaryotic small subunit ribosomal RNA
Source: RNAcentral